UACGAAGGGGGCUAGCGUUGCUCGGAAUCACUGGGCGUAAAGCGCACGUAGGCGGAUUGUUAAGUCAGGGGUGAAAUCCUGGAGCUCAACUCCAGAACUGCCUUUGAUACUGGCGAUCUUGAGUCCGGGAGAGGUGAGUGGAACUGCGAGUGUAGAGGUGAAAUUCGUAGAUAUUCGCAAGAACACCAGUGGCGAAGGCGGCUCACUGGCCCGGUACUGACGCUGAGGUGCGAAAGCGUGGGGAGCAGA
This 249-nucleotide ribosomal RNA is filed under the name uncultured bacterium. Its description in RNAcentral is "partial 16S ribosomal RNA". It matches the Rfam family "Bacterial small subunit ribosomal RNA", at positions 524 to 772 of the family's 1533-position model. The record is from RNAcentral.